AGAGUUAAACAGUACGUGAAAUUGUUGAAAGGGAAACGAUUGAAGUCAGUCGUACUAACGGGAAAUCAACCUUUUUGAGUCGUAAAUUUUGGAUUUUGAAGAGUUUAAACCUUCGGGUUCAAAUAUUUGCACUUUUUAGGCGUAAUUUCUCGUUCGGUAGGUUAACAUCGAUUUUGAACAUUAUAAAAUGAUCGGAGGAAUGUAGCUUCGAUCUUGUAUUGAAGUGUUAUAGCCUUUGGUAGAUGUAAUGAUCGAGAUCGAGGAUUGCAACGAAUACCCUUUUGGGCUAUCCGUCUGAUCUCUGAUACGUUGCCUCGGUAACGAAAGCGUGCUUACGGUAUUGAGGUAUUACGGUCAAAAGGUUAGAACGUGAUUACAUUCGUUAAGGAUGUUGACGUAAUGGCUUUAAACGACC
RNAcentral lists this small RNA (415 nucleotides) under uncultured Glomeromycotina. Its description in RNAcentral is "eukaryotic LSU rRNA". The record is from RNAcentral. Lineage: Eukaryota; Fungi; Glomeromycota.